GACGGAGGGGGCCAGCGUUGUCCGGAAUUACUGGGCGUAAAGCGCUCGUAGGCGGUCGCGUACGGCGGUGGUGAAAGCUCCCGGCUCAACUGGGAGAGGCCCGCCGCAACGGCGUGACUCGAGGGGGGGAGAGGCAGACGGAAUUCCUGGUGUAGCGGUGAAAUGCGUAGAGAUCAGGAGGAACACCCGUGGCGAAGGCGGUCUGCUGGGCCCGGCCUGACGCUGAGGAGCGAAAGCCAGGGGAG
This 245-nucleotide ribosomal RNA is filed under the name uncultured bacterium. Its description in RNAcentral is "partial 16S ribosomal RNA". It matches the Rfam family "Bacterial small subunit ribosomal RNA", at positions 524 to 768 of the family's 1533-position model. The record is from RNAcentral.